This 549-nucleotide ribosomal RNA is filed under the name Microbacterium sp. RNAcentral's name for it is "bacterial SSU rRNA". It matches the Rfam family "Bacterial small subunit ribosomal RNA", at positions 242 to 803 of the family's 1533-position model. Lineage: Bacteria; Bacillati; Actinomycetota; Actinomycetes; Micrococcales; Microbacteriaceae. The record is from RNAcentral.
CAGCUUGUUGGUGAGGUAAUGGCUCACCAAGGCGUCGACGGGUAGCCGGCCUGAGAGGGUGACCGGCCACACUGGGACUGAGACACGGCCCAGACUCCUACGGGAGGCAGCAGUGGGGAAUAUUGCACAAUGGGCGCAAGCCUGAUGCAGCAACGCCGCGUGAGGGAUGACGGCCUUCGGGUUGUAAACCUCUUUUAGCAGGGAAGAAGCGAAAGUGACGGUACCUGCAGAAAAAGCGCCGGCUAACUACGUGCCAGCAGCCGCGGUAAUACGUAGGGCGCAAGCGUUAUCCGGAAUUAUUGGGCGUAAAGAGCUCGUAGGCGGUUUGUCGCGUCUGCUGUGAAAUCCGGAGGCUCAACCUCCGGCCUGCAGUGGGUACGGGCAGACUAGAGUGCGGUAGGGGAGAUUGGAAUUCCUGGUGUAGCGGUGGAAUGCGCAGAUAUCAGGAGGAACACCGAUGGCGAAGGCAGAUCUCUGGGCCGUAACUGACGCUGAGGAGCGAAAGGGUGGGGAGCAAACAGGCUUAGAUACCCUGGUAGUCCACCCCGU